UAAGGAUUGUUGAGGAGGUCCAGAAGCAUUUAAACUAGAAAGGAAGAGGGGAGAAAACAAAAAAAACAGAAGGGAGACCACAUCAAAACAAAGGCAACAACUCAGAGUCUGCUGUGAUGGGGGAGAGAGGGCUGCUCAUCCUUCUGCUUGCAGGGUUUUGUGUGCCUGCUUACAAUCAGAUCAUAGAACAUGUACUUGUGGAAACUGUGAUGAGCUGGUCUGCAGCUCAGAGCUACUGUAGAGAGAAGCACACAGACCUGGCCACUGUAUGCAGCCAGGAAGAAGCAGAGCAGCUCUUAAAUAUUACAGGAGCUUCUGUCAUUGCUAAUGCCUGGAUCGGGCUGUAUCGUGAUGACACACAGAACUGGCAGUGGUCUAACAGCGAUGAUGUCAUCUACUCCAACUGGAAGAAAUACCUCUUCUGUGCUUCAGUCAAUUCAGUGGGACUGUGGGAGGACGACGUCUGCUUCGUGAAUAAAGCUUUCAUGUGCU
Long non-coding RNA from Acipenser ruthenus (sterlet), 492 nucleotides. RefSeq lists it as uncharacterized. The record is from RefSeq and is a predicted model, not a curated record. The transcript has 3 exons. NCBI's taxonomy places the organism in Eukaryota, Metazoa, Chordata, Actinopteri, Acipenseriformes, Acipenseridae.